This 684-nucleotide ribosomal RNA is filed under the name Triticum aestivum (bread wheat). RNAcentral's name for it is "partial small subunit ribosomal RNA". The record is from RNAcentral. Lineage: Eukaryota; Viridiplantae; Streptophyta; Magnoliopsida; Poales; Poaceae.
AUGAAAAUUUCCAAUUGGAACUGUUGUGGGCUGGGACAACCUCGUACGGUUCAAGAGCUUGUGUGUCUGACUAAGACGCACCGUCGCUAUGUUAUCUUCCUUUCGGAAACUAGGAAAAAUAAAGAGUAAUUGAGCUUUUGCAUUACCGGUGGUAUGAAUUAUGUGUUUACUGUUUCUGGCCAUGGUAAAGGUGGAGGUCUAGCCGUGUUUUGGGAUGAAGCGUACUCCUGUGAGCUGAACAAAUCUGGUGAACAUUUUGUGGAUAUGUACGUCAACAAGGGUGAUGGUACAAAGUGGAGGUGCACCUUUAUUUAUGGAGAGCCUAAGGCGAUCCAGAGGCACGUUAUGUGGGAUCUUUUGAGGCGGAUUAAACCUCCGUGUGUUGAGCCUUGGUUUUUGGUGGGGGAUAGUGAAGCUAUGUGGCAAAAUGAACACUUCUCUCGACAUAAGAGAUCUCCUAGACUCAUGGCAAACUUUCGUGAAGUUCUAUCAGAGUGUAGUUUAUUUGAUUUAGGCUUUCAAGGUGUUCCGUGGACGUAUAAUAAUAAGCAAGAGGGCGACAAGAAUGUUAAGGUACGUCUUGACCGUGCAAUGGCUUGCCCUCUUUGGUCAUCUAUUUUCCCUCAGUGUAAGGUCUCCCAUAUUAUUAGCUCCAGGUCUUAUCAUUGCCCCCAUUUUAAUUGA